RNAcentral lists this ribosomal RNA (774 nucleotides) under uncultured Neocallimastigales. RNAcentral's name for it is "partial large subunit ribosomal RNA". It matches the Rfam family "Eukaryotic large subunit ribosomal RNA", at positions 23 to 635 of the family's 3401-position model. Lineage: Eukaryota; Fungi; Neocallimastigomycota; Neocallimastigomycetes; Neocallimastigales. The record is from RNAcentral.
UGAGACUCUGUGCGCGUGCAUAUCAAUAAGCGGAGGAAAAGAAACUAACAAGGAUUCCCCUAGUAACGGCGAGUGAAGCGGGAAGAGCUCAAAUUUGAAAUCUUAAAGAGUUUCCCUUUACGAAUUGUAGUUUAAAGAAGUGUUUUCUGUUGAGGUUUUGGUAAAAGUUCUUUGGAAUAGGACAUCAUCGAGGGUGAGAAUCCCGUAUUUGACCUUUACUUUCAACUUUGUGAUACACUUUCAAAGAGUCGGAUUGUUUGGGAAUGCAGUCCAAAAUGGGUGGUAAAUUUCAUCUAAAGCUAAAUAUUGGCGAGAGACCGAUAGCGAACAAGUACCGUGAGGGAAAGAUGAAAAGAACUUUGAAAAGAGAGUUAAACAGUACGUGAAAUUGUCAAAAGGGAAGCGUUUGACACCAGUGUUGUUUUUCUGAAAAUCAAUUAAAGAACUGUUUAUGCUAAGUUGUUAGACUUUAUCAGCUAACUGUUUAGUUUUGAGCUUUUCUUUAAUGCACUUUUCAGUUAACAAGUCAACAUCAAUUUCUUUUGCUGUAAAAAAGCUUGAGGAAGGUGGCUUGAGAUUCGUCUUAAGUGUUUAUAGCCUCUUGCCUAUGCAGUCGGAGAGAUUGAGGUCUGCAGCGUAGAUCCUUCGGGGCUAAAUGCAUUUGUGCUAAGUUAUAGCAUUUUAUAGACAACUUGUUGACUAUGAUUUGUCUUGUAGCUUACUCGCUUAUGUUAUUUUACCUACGCUUAGGAUGUUGAAGAUGUAGCACAUCAU